RNAcentral lists this ribosomal RNA (506 nucleotides) under uncultured bacterium. RNAcentral's name for it is "partial 16S ribosomal RNA". It matches the Rfam family "Bacterial small subunit ribosomal RNA", at positions 30 to 523 of the family's 1533-position model. The record is from RNAcentral.
AUUGAACGCUGGCGGCAGGCCUAACACAUGCAAGUCGAACGGUAACAGAGAGUAGCUUGCUACUUCGCUGACGAGUGGCGGACGGGUGAGUAAUGUCUGGGGAUCUGCCUGAUGGAGGGGGAUAACUACUGGAAACGGUAGCUAAUACCGCAUAAUGUCGCAAGACCAAAGCGGGGGACUUUCGGGCCUCGCACCAUCAGAUGAACCCAGAUGGGAUUAGCUAGUAGGUAGGGUAAUGGCUUACCUAGGCGACGAUCCCUAGCUGGUCUGAGAGGAUGACCAGCCACACUGGAACUGAGACACGGUCCAGACUCCUACGGGAGGCAGCAGUGGGGAAUAUUGCACAAUGGGCGCAAGCCUGAUGCAGCCAUGCCGCGUGCAUGAAGAAGGCCUUCGGGUUGUAAAGUACUUUCAGUCAGGAGGAAGGGUGUGAAAUUAAUACUUUCAUGCAUUGACGUUACUGACAGAAGAAGCACCGGCUAACUCCGUGCCAGCCGCCGCGGUAA